Molecule: long non-coding RNA, 213 nt
Organism: Eurytemora carolleeae
Lineage: Eukaryota; Metazoa; Arthropoda; Copepoda; Calanoida; Temoridae
Exons: 3
Source: RefSeq, a predicted model, not a curated record
AAGUAGGGAGCAACAUGGUCUGUGCUUUUCAAUGCAACCAGCUCGAAAAUCAAUGUAAUGCAUUUCAGUACGCUCUUGAUACCUUGAUUUGUUCAGCUGCAAAGGUUGUUAUAUCCUCCCUUGAAAAUGUUGAAAAUGAAGAAGCAAUUGAUGUAUUUAUGGAAUAUGAAUUUUUGAAUAACCUGAGGAGUCAGACCACACCAACCUCGGUAA